GGAGUUAGCCGGUGCUUCUUCUGUGAGUGAUGUCCUUCCUGCCGGUUAUUGACCCGCAGGCCUUCUUCCUCACUGAAAGUGCUUUACAACCCGAAGGCCUUCUUCACACACGCGGCAUGGCUGGAUCAGGGUUGCCCCCAUUGUCCAAUAUUCCCCACUGCUGCCUCCCGUAGGAGUCUGGGCCGUGUCUCAGUCCCAGUGUGGCUGAUCAUCCUCUCAGACCAGCUACGGAUCGUCGCCUUGGUGAGCCGUUACCUCACCAACCAGCUAAUCCGACAUAGGCUCAUCCGAUAGCGCGAGGCCCGAAGGUCCCCCGCUUUCCCCCGUAGGGCGUAUGCGGUAUUAGCCUGGGUUUCCCCAGGUUAUCCCCCACUACCGGGCAGAUUCCUAUGCAUUACUCACCCGUCCGCCGCUCGCCACCAGGGAGCAAGCUCCCCGUGCUGCCGCUCGACUUGCAUGUGUUAGGCCUCGCCGCCACGCGUUCAACUCUGAGCCAUAAUACAAACUACUGA
This 512-nucleotide ribosomal RNA is filed under the name uncultured bacterium. RNAcentral's name for it is "partial 16S ribosomal RNA". The record is from RNAcentral.